CACUUCUUUUUCUCUCUCUGUUUCUUUAUUUCAUUAUAGGUAACUCAAUAGAUAAAAGAACAGCCGUUUCACUGCUUUGUUAAGAAAUGUGCUUUCCUCCCGCUUGACUGUCACAGAUUCCACCACCAGGAGGCCCUCAUUCCAAUGCUUAUAGCUAGGCAAGGAAAACACAAGGAGAGUGAAGAGGAGAAGCCCAUCCACACAAAAACACACUCCAAGAAGCUCCAAGAAGCUCCACUAACUGGGACUAUUCCCACUUGGAACCAGAAGAAUUCAAGAUAAACAAAUUGCUGUCACCAAAGAGAGUCAUAAGAACACUGAGAUUCCUUCAAGAUGAGAAGCAGUUCAGAGAAGACUGGUCAUCAUUCCCCAGGCAACACUCACUGGCUCUAUUGUACUCACUAGCCAAGAUCCAAGAUACAGCAGACAUUUCCUUUAGAAAAGAAGUAAGGGAAGAAUGUGGUACAGGGAAAAUUAUACUUAACUUUGACCUAUGCACCAAGUGCUUAAAUAUUGUAAAGAAUCUCAUCUUUUUAAUGGGAGGGAGGGGAUGUCAUAUUUAGAAACUGGU
Molecule: long non-coding RNA, 571 nt
Organism: Vidua chalybeata
Lineage: Eukaryota; Metazoa; Chordata; Aves; Passeriformes; Viduidae
Exons: 4
Source: RefSeq, a predicted model, not a curated record